GGUGGCUCAGUGGUAGAGCGCUUGCCUUGCGUGCAUAAGACCCUGGGUUCAAUUCCUCAGCACCA
This 65-nucleotide transfer RNA is filed under the name Dipodomys ordii (Ord's kangaroo rat). It matches the Rfam family "tRNA". Rfam says of the family: Transfer RNA (tRNA) molecules are approximately 80 nucleotides in length. Their secondary structure includes four short double-helical elements and three loops (D, anti-codon, and T loops). Further hydrogen bonds mediate the characteristic L-shaped molecular structure. tRNAs have two regions of fundamental functional importance: the anti-codon, which is responsible for specific mRNA codon recognition, and the 3' end, to which the tRNAs corresponding amino acid is attached (by aminoacyl-tRNA synthetases). tRNAs cope with the degeneracy of the genetic code in two manners: having more than one tRNA (with a specific anti-codon) for a particular amino acid; and 'wobble' base-pairing, i.e. permitting non-standard base-pairing at the 3rd anti-codon position. The record is from Rfam by way of RNAcentral. Lineage: Eukaryota; Metazoa; Chordata; Mammalia; Rodentia; Heteromyidae.